CUCUUAUACCUAGUACUUUAACAGUUCUUCACUGGACCUCUAUUUAGCGUUAAAAUUCACCAUGGGAAUGGUUUAAAUAAAACACGCAUUUAUUUGGAAGUGGUGGGAGUACUGACGUUUGCAUACUUGGUGUACCAGUACUGGAAUCUGCUCUUCAUGGGGCAAGCCGAGAACGACCUUGACUGCCGCCACUCUACGCGGUCUCGUUCACGCUCCAGGUCAUGUUCGAAGUCAAGGAC
Long non-coding RNA from Galleria mellonella (greater wax moth), 239 nucleotides. RefSeq lists it as uncharacterized. Lineage: Eukaryota; Metazoa; Arthropoda; Insecta; Lepidoptera; Pyralidae. The record is from RefSeq and is a predicted model, not a curated record. The transcript is spliced from 3 exons.